CAUGCCUGUAAUCCCAGCACUUUGGGAGGCCGAGGCGGGCGGAUCACGAGGUCAGGCGUGAGCCACCGCACCCGGCUGUGUUUUUUAUAGAGAUACAAAAUAUAAAAUUAGACAGGCAUGGUGUUUCACGUGGGGUGUUUUACAUGGUGUUUCGUGGGGUUUCACUAUGUUGCCCAGGCUAGUCUUGAACUUUUGGGAUCAAGUGAUCUACCUGCCUCAGCCUCCCAAAGUGUUGGGACUACAGGCAUAAGCCACUAUGCCCAGCCAUACACAGAACUUUUGACUUUUUUUGCUUCAUAUCUAACAGCAACUUUAUUCAGAGGAAAUGAAACACAGCAAGCCUUUAGGCAUAGUGUGAAUUUCCCAGGACAAAGUACUGUCAAUUUUUUUUUUUUUUCCUGAGAUGGAGUCUAGCUCUGUUGCCCAGACUGGAAUGCAAUGGCGCAAUCUGGGCUCACUGCAACCUCUGCCUCCCGGGUUCAAGUGAUUCUCCGGUCUCAGCCUUCCAAGUAGCUGGGAUUACAGGUGCACGCCACCACGCCCCACUAACUUUUUGUAUUUUAGUAAAGAUGGAGUUUCACCAUGUUGCCCAGGCUGGUCUCGAACUCCUGAGCUCAGGCAAUCCACCCACCUCGGCUCCCAAAGUGCUGAGAUUACAGGCAUGAGCCACCGUGCCCAGCCAGUACUGUCACAUUAAAACUCUGAGGCGUGGCAUGCGAAGUACUAGAAUCCUACAACAAGUUAUACUAGGAUCAGGAUUAGAAUAAGGAUUCUGUUGUUAGCAUUAUGCCAACUCUCUAUAAUGUGCACACUGUCUACUAAGCACAGCAUAGGCUUCUGAAAACAAGUGAUCUGUGUGGACCUUUUAUUUUUAACUGGGCACAUAGCCUGGAAUCAAGCAUUUCCUAGACUCCCCUGCAGCAAGAUAUGCAUAGUUGUAUGUCUAAAUUCUGGCCAAAGCAGUGGAAGCAGAAGCAGUGCGUGGGCCAGCUUGUUCUCCUUUGCUGUUGGUUCCUUUGCUGGCUGGAAUGCACUUAGGAUGCUGGGAUCCAGCAGCACUCUGACAGUUGAGAAGAUCUUAUCAAUGAAAGCCAAUUAAUGGCAUCAAACUGCAAGGAAACAAAAAAGCCUGUGGCUCCACCAUCACUAUCUGAGACAUUCUUGAGAAUGAAAUAAACAGUCUUGUUUAAAUCACUUUUUAGAAAUGUUUUAGUGUUAUUUGUAGGCAAAUGUAAUCCCAAUUCAUAGAGCCUCAAAACUAGUAGGGUUUGUAAAAGGAGUGAGGAGAGGAGUUAAUCCAAAAGAAGGGAAGAAAGAGGAAAAAAGACACCUCAGAAAAGGAGGCUGGGCUCAGUGGCUCAGGCCUGUAAUUCCAACACUUUGGGAGGCCCAGGUAGGAGGACUGCUUAAGGCUAGAAGUUUGAGACCAGCCUGGGCAACAUAGUGAGAGCCCAUCUCUAUUUAAAUAAAUAAAUUAAAAUACAUUCAAAAAGCACAAAUCCCCCAAAAUAACAUGGUAAGAAUAAAUCUAAAUAUAUAGAAGUCACCUCGUAAAAAUGGACUACAUUACCUAUUUCUAAAAUAAAAAUCAGGAAACUGGAUAAAACAUAAAAUCCAGGUAUAUGCUGAUUACAAGAGACAUGAUUAAUAAGGACAGUGAAAGGUAAAAAGUAAAUGGAUGGAAAGAGAUAUACCAGACAAACACUAAUCAAAGGAAGUCUGCUACUGUAAUAGUCAUAAUACAUAUAACUCUCAGGCAAACACAAACAGAGAUUCUGAAAAACAGAAUGGAUCAGUGAACAUCUGCCAGGAAUAUUACAAUUCUAAACUUGAUCCAUCCAAUAUCUUCAAAAUAUAUAAAACAAAAGUUUUUUAAGGAGAAAUGGACAAACCAUUUUAUAGAAAGUGGUGUGAUACAGACAUGCAAUGAAUGGAAAACAGUAAACCCAAGCUCAUCUUUUGGACGGACGCAUCCCUCCCCCAUUCCAGUUCUGCCUUCACACCUAAUCUCAGUGGUCCUUGGAGUGACUGGUGGGCCUCCUCUCUCCUGGAUGCCAGUUUCAAAUCUGCUCUCCAGAGACGUCCUACGCGUCCUCCCCACCUCCUUGCCCUGAGGUGAUGACUCUGCUCCCGUCUGCCUCACCUCACCUCUCCUCAGACAUGGCCUUUCUCCUGUACCUGUGGAGAAGCUAUCUGUUCUCUACUUGGGCACUAAUUCGAUUCCUUCUCACCUAAGGAUAACCCCAACAGUUGCCUGUUUUCUCUCCAGCAUAAUAAGCUCCCUUUCUCUAACAAGGUCAUUCUCAGCAACAUAUAAACAUGCUUAUAUUGCUCCAUUAAAAAAACAAAACAAGGACAGGCGCGGUGGCUCAUGCCUGUAAUCCUAACACUGUGGGAGGCUGAGAUGGGGGGACUGUUUAAACCCAGGAGUUUGAGACCAGCCUAGGCAACAAAGCGAGAUUGCAUCUCUACAAAAAAAAAAUAUUAAUUAGGCAGGUGUGGUGGUGCACCCCUGUGUUCCCAGCUACUUGGGAGGCUGGGGUGGGAGGAUCAGUGGAGCCCAGGAGUUCAAGGCUGCAUUGAGCUGAGAUCACACCACUGCACUUCAGCCUGGGUGACAAAGUGAGACCCUAUCUCAAAACAACAGCAACAACAACAACGAAACAGUUGUCUCCUUUGACCCUACAUCCCUCCAUUUCUCUGCUUCCUUGUACAGGAAAAUCCACGCAUGUGGUCUCCAAUUACUCUCCUGUUUUCUCUUCUCUUAAUCCUCCUCCUCUCAGGCUACCUUACCCAUGCUUCUGCCAUCACCAUUCCACCAAAAUGGCCCUUUAUGUAUCUAAUGACCUCUGCCUUUCUAGAUCUGGCUUGGUGAGCCCUUCAGCUGCCUUUGACACUGUGGAUUCUCUCCUUGAGUACGUUGUUCAGGUGGCUUCCAAUUGCUUUUCCUUUGAUCUUGCUGUUUAUUCCUCCCUUUCCACCGCUGUGUUCAUGUCUCUGGGAUCAGUCCUUAGACAGCUUGUCUUCUCUACUUAUUAGGCAUUCUCAUCUUAUUCAUCUUAAUCUAUACUCUGGUGACUCCCAAAUAGAAUCUUCAAACUGGACCUAUCUCCAGACUCAUAUAUCCAACUGCCUGCUUGACUUCUCUAUUCUGAUGUCUAACAAAACAUAUCAAAUUUAACAUGUUCCAAACCAAACUCCUGACUUUCCCCCAGAUCAACAUUUCCUAUAGUUUUCCCCAUUUCAGUGGCAACGCCAUCCUCUUCUUCACUCAGACUCCAAGCCAUGUUUGGCUCCCUUACUCUUACCCAUAUCUAAUCUGUCGAGAAAUCCUGUUCUAUCUUCAAGAUAUAUCCACAGUCUGAUUCCUCCAUUAAAGUCUCUCUUACCCAGAUUGUUAAAUCCUCCUAACUCAUCUCCCAGCUUCCAUUUGUGUGCCAAUGGAAGGUACACGGAGGUUCUCAUUUGGAUAGAGAAGCCAGAUUAAUUCUUUAAAAAAGUAUGUCAAGUUGCAGCACUCAGAACUGAUGAGCUCUUCUUGGAGUAAAACCAAGCCUUUAAUAAUGGCCUCUGAUGGGCAGAUCACUUGAGUUCAAGAGUUCAAGACCAGCCUGGGCAACGUGGUAAAACUCCCAGCCAGGUGCGGCGGGCCUGUGGUCCCAGCUACUUGGGAGGCUGAGGUGGGAGGAUUGCUUGAGACUGGCAGGUGGAGGUUACAGUCAGCCAAAAUUGCGCCGCUGCACUCCAGCCUGGGUGAGUGAGAUCCCAUCUCAAAAAAAAAAAAAAAAGAAAAAAAAAAAAAAGGCCCUGAGACCCCUGUGAUCUGAGACGCCCCCAGUCUGACUUCAUCUCCCAUCCCUCUCCUCUGGCUCAUGGCUGCAGCCCACUGGUGGCUUCCCUCAGCCUUGCACAUGUCAAGCACUUGCCCAUCAGUCAGGUGCUGCUCCCUCUGCCUGAAAAGUUCUUCUCCGCAGAUCUCUACAGACUUCCUCUCUCCCUCUCUUCAGGUUUCUGCUCACAGGUCACCUGGCCAGGGAUGCCCUCCCUGACCACCCUGAAUGCAACAGCAACACCGACCCUGCCUGUGCAGCGGACACUAUACUGCUCUUACCCUUCCUGGUUAUUUGUUACUGCUCACCUGGUUACUGCUUACCACAUUUGGUUAUUUGGUAUCCCUUCCCAUGAGGGGAGGGAUUUUGUUUUGUUCACUGCGACAUCCCCAGAAGCUACAACAGUACCUGGCAUAAGUUUUCAUCCCAACAGAAUUUUUCUGAGGAACUUGAUAUACAAAUUCUAUAAUUUAUAUUGGAAGAAUGAAGAUAUAAGAACAGUUUUUCUUUCUGCACAAAAAGGAUAAAGAAGGAGCACUCACCAGAUACCAAGGCGUGCUACAAAGCCAUGUGAUUCUGUCCAAGGUAAAUACUCCAGAGAAGUUCUCCCACCUCAUGGCAGAGAGACAUGCACCACAGUGUUGAUGAAACGCUGAAAACACCAAAAUGGCCCCAGUGCAGUGGCUCACGCCUAUAAUCCCAGCACUUUGGGAGGCCCAGGCAGGCGGAUCACCUGAGGUCGGGAGUUCAAGACCAGCCUGACCAACAUGGAGAAACCUCGUCUCUACUAAAAAUACAAAAAAUUAGCUGGGCGUGGUGGCACAUGCCUGUAAUCCCAGCUACUUGGGAGGCUGAGGCAGGAGAAUUGCUUGAACCCACGAGGCGGAGGUUGCGGUGAGCCGAGAUCGCACCAUUGCACUCCAGACUAGGUAACGAGAGAAACUCCAUCUCAAAAAAAAAAAAAAAAAAAAAAGAACCCUGAAACAUCAUUAGGAAAAUGGUCAAAGAGAAUGUAGUAUAUGUGUAUGAAUUUAACAGAAAUGAACUAGAUCUCUAUGUAUCAAAGUAGACAGAGUGUUCAAGACAUAGUGUUCAAUAUAAAAUUGUUCUUUUUACUGCAGCUUAACAGUGGAUGUAACUGCUCAUUUGCUGUAUUUUCUGAAGGCCCCAACAGUCUCUCCUGUCCCUCCUCCUCUUCUAAAACCUUGAUACUUCCCUAUGAAGAGGUAGGGUCUAAUACUCCCCUCCUUCAACCUGAAGCCCCGCCUUGGGCUUGUGACUUGCUUGUAAUCAAAUACAGUGGAAGAGUUACUACGUGACUUCCAGGGCUAGGUCAGAAAAGGAUGCAGCCUCAGGGUUCAACACACAGUUGGGCCUGGAGCCACCAUGCAAGAAGGCUGCCAUGCUGCGAGGGAGCAAAGGCACGUGGAGGGACAUACACAGGGGCUGUGGCUGGCAGUCCUGGCCUUUGAGUCAUCCUUGUUUAAGUGCCAGGCACACACGUUAACUACCUUUAGGUAAUUCCAUACCUCAGAUGUCAUGUCACCCCAAGCCCUUGAGCCUUCCCAUCUGAAGCCCCAGGCUUUAUGGAGAAGAAACAAGAUGUUCCUGCCACGCUCUUUCUGAACUGCUGAAAUACAGAAUCUAUGACCAUAAUAAAAUGGUUGUUUUGUGCCAUUAGGUUUGGCGUGACUUGUUAUGCCCUUCCUGCUUCUGUGUCUUUGCUCCCUCCAUCUGGAAUGCCUUUCCUCUCCCCCAGCCUGUAGAUAUUCUCUGAGGCACAGCUAUGAAUGGUAUCUCCUUGGUGGAGUUCCUCACAGAUUUAAGAGGGGUGACCUUAAAACUUGUGGCCAUGGCUGGGUGUGGUGGCUCACACCUGUAAUCCCAGCAUUUUGGGAGGGCGAGGUGGGCAGAUCACUUGAGGUCAGGAGUUCAAGACCAGCCUGGCCAACAUGGUGAAACCCUGUCUCUACUAAAAAUACAAAAAUUAGCUGGACGUGGUGGCAUGUGCCUGUAAUCCCAGCUACUCAGGAGGCUGAGACACGAGAAUCACUUGCACCCAGGAGGCGGAGGUUGUGCUGAGCUGAAAUUGUACCACUGCACUCCAGCCUGGGCAACAGAGUGCGACUCUGUCUCACAAAAACAAAACAAACAAACAAAAAAAACCAACUUGUGGCCACAAGUCAGGGCCUUGAGUGGAUGUACAGAAUUUAAUCAGAGAGACUUGCAAUUUCAAUGAAGAGUAUCAUUCUUAAGAGACAGGAAACAUUAUUCACAACGGCCAAAAGGUAGAUGGAAUCCACCUAUCCAUUGGCAAAUGAAUAGAUACAUAAAAUGUAGUCUCUACAUACAAUAGAAUAUUACUCAGCCUUAACAAGGGAGGGAAUUGUGACACAUGCUAUGGAUGAACCUUGAAGACAUUAUGCAAAGUGAAA
Long non-coding RNA from Pan troglodytes (chimpanzee), 6265 nucleotides. RefSeq lists it as uncharacterized. NCBI's taxonomy places the organism in Eukaryota, Metazoa, Chordata, Mammalia, Primates, Hominidae. The record is from RefSeq and is a predicted model, not a curated record. The transcript has 3 exons.